Paramuricea clavata is the source of this 549-nucleotide non-coding RNA. The record is from the annotation of a GenBank genome assembly. Lineage: Eukaryota; Metazoa; Cnidaria; Anthozoa; Malacalcyonacea; Plexauridae.
AUUUGCACUGGAUAGCUCUAUCAAUUCUGUCUAAACUGCUUUCCUUAGAGGUACAACGAGGGAGAAGAAUUCUAAAUACUGGAGGAAGGUUUCCUAGCUUAUAUAUAACUUAUUUAUGCUAACUAGUUUCAAUUCUAAACUGUUAUUCCUAGAGUUCAAGUAAGUGCCAUCUUUUUUUUUCCAAUGUUACUAUACUGGAGGAAACCGAAGAUGGCAAUAUGAUUAGGGGGACUAUUUUGUUGCUCAAGAACCUCAAGAAUAUUGGCUGUUUAUAUUUGUUUUUCUUCUUAGUUUAGUGUAUAUCUGGGGCAUGGAAUGGGAAGUGUUGAGUCAGACAUUUGGUUUUGAUGUGGAAAUAAAAAUAGUUAGCGAAGUCUUUGAAGAAAAUUGUAUGUUCUCGAUCACUCCAGGUUUGUAUAAAGAUUGAAAGAAGUAAGCCCCUUUCUUGUUAGUCCAUGCAGUGUUGCUACCAAAAGAAGAAAAAAAAACAUAGAUACUGAUAACUUUAUCAUAGACGGAUUUUCAUAUUUAUUACUGGGGUGGUGCCAG